GACGGAGGAUGCAAGUGUUAUCCGGAAUCACUGGGCGUAAAGCGUCUGUAGGGGGUCAAAUAAGUCAACUGUUAAAUCUUGAGGCUCAACCUCAAAAUCGCAGUCGAAACUAUUAGACUAGAGUAUAGUAGGGGUAAAGGGAAUUUCCAGUGGAGCGGUGAAAUGCGUAGAGAUUGGAAAGAACACCGAUGGCGAAGGCACUUUACUGGGCUAUUACUAACACUCAGAGACGAAAGCUAGGGUAGCAAAUGGG
RNAcentral lists this ribosomal RNA (253 nucleotides) under uncultured bacterium. RNAcentral describes it as "partial 16S ribosomal RNA". It matches the Rfam family "Bacterial small subunit ribosomal RNA", at positions 524 to 776 of the family's 1533-position model. The record is from RNAcentral.